UACAGAGGGGGCGAGCGUUGUUCGGAAUCACUGGGUGUAAAGGGUGCGUAGGUGGUGAGGAAAGUCGGAUGUGAAAUCUCCGGGCUUAACCCGGAAAUGGCAUUGGAAACUACCUUGCUAGAGGUUUUGAGGGGGGACUGGAAUUCUCGGUGUAGCAGUGAAAUGCGUAGAUAUCGAGAGGAACACCAGUGGCGAAGGCGAGUCCCUGGAAAACACCUGACACUGAGGCACGAAAGCUAGGGGAGCAAACAGG
RNAcentral lists this ribosomal RNA (253 nucleotides) under uncultured bacterium. RNAcentral describes it as "partial 16S ribosomal RNA". It matches the Rfam family "Bacterial small subunit ribosomal RNA", at positions 524 to 776 of the family's 1533-position model. The record is from RNAcentral.